GGGUUUAUCGGUUUUUUCUACAUGUCCAUAAACCAAACCAGUGCGAAAUGUUUAGGGUUGCGCUUAAGAAAAAGGCGUCCACAAGUAGAUGUACUUCAGAAUGUUGGGCAAAUAAUGUGAGACGGAAAAGGAAAGA
Non-coding RNA from Caenorhabditis elegans, 136 nucleotides. The record is from Ensembl. NCBI's taxonomy places the organism in Eukaryota, Metazoa, Nematoda, Chromadorea, Rhabditida, Rhabditidae.